UAAAAUCUAUGCAAAGUAAGUUUAAGCUUUAAACAUUAUAAAAUGGUCAUAUCUUUUUCUAUUUGAUACAUGCAAAAGAAAGGGAAAUAUAUGGCUAAACUUGUGACGAAUAAAAGUUCUACACACAUUUUAUUAAGCGAUUCUUCAGAACUUUUAUUCAUAUGAAAGCCAAGGGAAACUGGGAAUUGGGGGAAGGGCUCUUUUUCGAGGAGAGACUAGCAGCGUGUCUUGGAUUUACACAGUGGAUUGCAUACAGAGGCAGCUAGAAGUCACGACAGAGUUAUGAGAUGGCAUGCAUCUUGUACCGGAGAUCCAAGGCAUACGGGAAAAGAAAUACCUUAAAGCAACCAACAAUAUAUUGUUUAAACUGAAGCAAACGUUCAAACAUGGCCGCAAAGCUAAAUGUGCGAAUCACAGAUACAAGGAAAUGAGGUGUGUCUUUUGUUUAGGAUAAUGCUACUAGAGUUAUUGCCGAGGGUCUGUGACCGGAUCAGAAAAUGGUGUCAAAAGUAAUGACCCGAAAUCCUUUAUUUGUGACAUCAAAUACGUUGGCUAUUGAUGCUCUACAAAAGAUGGUCUAAGAACAAAAAGUUUAAUACUGUAAAAGAUUUGAAGAAGAAAGAAAGGAAAAGACAUGGGAAGACAGGGGAAAUAGAGUACAAUUAUACCUGUGACUAUGUUAUAAUUUAUAGAGUACAUGUUACAUUGGAUGAAAACUUGCAAUCGUUUUAGUAUGUAAUUCAAAAUGUGUUGCAUAGUGCAUAGUUCAUUUUCAUUAUGCAAGACAGGGGAAAUUUUAUAGAGUAUGUAAUUCAAAUUGGUUAUUAAAACUUCUCUCUAAUAUGUUAAUUCAAAUAUGAGUGAAGUCAGAGCCCGAUCAGGGUCAAACGACGUAUGAAUGUCGAUAUUUUAAGUCAAAAUUUGGGGUAUGACAAUAUCAAAUUGUUUUUUUCA
Medicago truncatula (barrel medic) is the source of this 954-nucleotide long non-coding RNA. RefSeq lists it as uncharacterized. The transcript has 4 exons. Lineage: Eukaryota; Viridiplantae; Streptophyta; Magnoliopsida; Fabales; Fabaceae. The record is from RefSeq and is a predicted model, not a curated record.